CCUGCCAACCCAUAAGAGGUCCAGCCUGCCCAGUGACUCUGUUCAACGGCCGCGGUAUCCUAACCGUGCGAAGGUAGCGUAAUCACUUGUCCUUUAAAUGAGGACUAGUAUGAACGGCACUACGAGGGUUACACUGUCUCCUUUUCUAAAUCAGUGAAACUAAUCCCCCCGUGAAGAAGCGGGGAUAAAUCUAUAAGACGAGAAGACCCUAUGGAGCUUCAAACUUCUCAGCAAUUAUUUUUUACUUAUGCAAUCGCAAGAUGACAAAUAACCCUUAUAAUAUGACUGUAAGUUUUCGGUUGGGGUGACCACGGAGCAAAAUAUAUCCUCCACAAUGAAUUAAAGCCUUAGCUUUAAACAAAGAAAUACAAUUCUAUGCAUCAAAAAAUUGACACAUUGACCCAAUACUUUGAUCAAUGAAC
RNAcentral lists this ribosomal RNA (422 nucleotides) under Phyllomedusa vaillantii group sp. ABGD cluster 32. RNAcentral's name for it is "partial large subunit ribosomal RNA". It matches the Rfam family "Bacterial large subunit ribosomal RNA", at positions 1834 to 2439 of the family's 2925-position model. The record is from RNAcentral. Lineage: Eukaryota; Metazoa; Chordata; Amphibia; Anura; Hylidae.